This 28-nucleotide small RNA is filed under the name Bombyx mori (domestic silkworm). RNAcentral describes it as "ovarian small RNA-12534". The record is from RNAcentral. Lineage: Eukaryota; Metazoa; Arthropoda; Insecta; Lepidoptera; Bombycidae.
AUCUCUCAUUAACAACAUUGUGGCCAUC